Molecule: long non-coding RNA, 580 nt
Organism: Drosophila virilis
Lineage: Eukaryota; Metazoa; Arthropoda; Insecta; Diptera; Drosophilidae
Source: RefSeq, a predicted model, not a curated record
ACAUAAUUCCACAAGAACAACUAUUUUGCAAGAAUAGUCCAAUUACGGUUGGGAAAGAAUUUGUUCCUUUUGUUUUGCCACCGAGCGUAUCUAAAAAGAAGUAAAGCUGAUUUGUUAGCCAGUUAAAUUGAACUUGCAACGGGGCAGCCCUUGAGAUUUCAAUUCGUGCUACAUGUAUUUAGAAAUACGAAUAAAUUUAGUUUUCAUAGAGGCAUUGAUGUGCACACGUGUUCACAUUUCAAGUUGAAAAAAUUUAUUCGUUAGUGCAUUGUUUUGAGCGUAUUUGUUUCUAAAAUGUUAGGUUUAGUACUUAAGGUAAUUGUGCCCGUCCUGAUGCGCUCCAUGAUACCAUCUGUGGGCCGUAAUCUUGUCCAGUGCGGAUCCAAAUCAUGUUUGUCGCUGCCAUUGCGCAGGGGUCUACAUAUGCGACAUGGUCUAGAAGUGAUGCGAUCACAGGAAGGAGCUCGUUGAUUUUUUAGGAUUCUGUUUGCCGUAUAUCGUGUACUUGUCGCUCGUAUAUGUUAUUUUAGUGUGUGUAUAAUUUUCAAAAACAAAAAUUAAAAUGUUAAUCCAAAUGGAA